GAUGAACGCUAGCGAUAGGCCUAACACAUGCAAGUCGAGGGGCAUCACAUGAAGUAGCAAUACGGAUGGUGGCGACCGGCGCACGGGUGAGUAACACGUAUGCAACCUGCCUUCAACAAGGGGAUAACCCGUUGAAAGACGGACUAAUACCCUAUAACACAGGGGUCCCGCAUGGGAAUAUUUGUUAAAGGACAACCGGUUGAAGAUGGGCAUGCGUUCCAUUAGCUAGUUGGCGGGGUAACGGCCCACCAAGGCAACGAUGGAUAGGGGAACUGAGAGGUUUAUCCCCCACACUGGUACUGAGACACGGACCAGACUCCUACGGGAGGCAGCAGUGAGGAAUAUUGGUCAAUGGACGCAAGUCUGAACCAGCCACGUCGCGUGAAGGAAGACGGCCCUACGGGUUGUAAACUUCUUUUGUAAGGGAAUAAAGUGGGCCACGUGUGGCUUUUUGCAUGUACCUUACGAAUAAGGAUCGGCUAACUCCGUG
RNAcentral lists this ribosomal RNA (490 nucleotides) under uncultured bacterium. RNAcentral describes it as "bacterial SSU rRNA". It matches the Rfam family "Bacterial small subunit ribosomal RNA", at positions 28 to 507 of the family's 1533-position model. The record is from RNAcentral.